GGGGGCGAUUGGGCUCGACGGGGGUUAUGAGGCUCCUGUGGCGUGUCGUGGCUCCAUCACCACGUAAAAAGGUGGAAACAAACACAAAAGCCAACAACGAACUGGCACUCGCAGCUUAACUAAGCUGCACGCUCCUCCGGGGUCGCCUGUGUUCCGGAGAAAGCGUCGAUCAGCAGGCUGGCCAAAGGGUGCGCUCCCAGCCCCGAGGCGAGACUAAGGGAGAUGGGGUUUCGGGAAGCCUGACUGCCGGCGUCCCGGGGCCUGACGAUUAAAAGACAGCCUACACACGUAGAAGCAUGAGUGUAGUACCUUCGGACCCGGGUUCGAUUCCCGGCGCCUCCACCA
This 345-nucleotide transfer-messenger RNA is filed under the name Nitrospiraceae bacterium. It matches the Rfam family "transfer-messenger RNA". Rfam says of the family: Bacterial tmRNA, also known as 10Sa RNA or SsrA, is named for its dual tRNA and mRNA-like properties. Its role is to liberate the mRNA from a stalled ribosome. The record is from RNAcentral. RNAcentral also lists the same sequence under 1 other name. Lineage: Bacteria; Pseudomonadati; Nitrospirota; Nitrospiria; Nitrospirales; Nitrospiraceae.